AAGGUUUUAAGUUAAAUAAACUAAUAGCCUUCAAAGCUAUAAAUAUAGAAAAGUCUUUAAACCUUA
This 66-nucleotide transfer RNA is filed under the name Ascaloptynx appendiculata. Its description in RNAcentral is "tRNA-Trp". It matches the Rfam family "tRNA". Rfam says of the family: Transfer RNA (tRNA) molecules are approximately 80 nucleotides in length. Their secondary structure includes four short double-helical elements and three loops (D, anti-codon, and T loops). Further hydrogen bonds mediate the characteristic L-shaped molecular structure. tRNAs have two regions of fundamental functional importance: the anti-codon, which is responsible for specific mRNA codon recognition, and the 3' end, to which the tRNAs corresponding amino acid is attached (by aminoacyl-tRNA synthetases). tRNAs cope with the degeneracy of the genetic code in two manners: having more than one tRNA (with a specific anti-codon) for a particular amino acid; and 'wobble' base-pairing, i.e. permitting non-standard base-pairing at the 3rd anti-codon position. Lineage: Eukaryota; Metazoa; Arthropoda; Insecta; Neuroptera; Myrmeleontidae. The record is from RNAcentral.